RNAcentral lists this long non-coding RNA (327 nucleotides) under Mustela putorius furo (domestic ferret). RNAcentral describes it as "lncRNA (ENSMPUG00000024819.1)". The record is from RNAcentral. Lineage: Eukaryota; Metazoa; Chordata; Mammalia; Carnivora; Mustelidae.
CCGCGCUUCACAGCGUGUCAGCGGGACUGAACCGCCUUUGCUGUUACACAAGAGAGCCGACAGCAGCAGUAGCAGCUCAGCAUCCUUCCCCCUUCUGGCCUGUUGGAAGCUGAUGGGAGCAACAGUGCCAUAAAGAAAUGGGCUAGAUAUUUCCAGAGGCUGAAAUCUGGAGACAUUUGGAGGUGUAAGUACAUUGGUCACAGAUCUCUAACGCCCUGGCUGUGUUGGUUGUACCUCUUGACCUUCUUCCUCACAGAAAGAGCCCAUGUAAAAUGCCAUCUGCAUAUUUCAUUCAUGAAGGAAAAACACCAAGACGGUGACAGAAAC